GAGGCAGCAGUGAGGAAUAUUGGUCAAUGGGCGAGAGCCUGAACCAGCCAAGUCGCGUGAAGGAUGACUGUCUUAUGGAUUGUAAACUUCUUUUAUACGGGAAUAACAAGAGCCACGUGUGGCUCCCUGCAUGUACCGUAUGAAUAAGCAUCGGCUAACUCCGUGCCAGCAGCCGCGGUAAUACGGAGGAUGCGAGCGUUAUCCGGAUUUAUUGGGUUUAAAGGGUGCGUAGGCGGCCUGUUAAGUCAGCGGUGAAAUCUAGGAGCUUAACUCCUAAAUUGCCAUUGAUACUGGCGGGCUUGAGUGUAGAUGAGGUAGGCGGAAUGCGUGGUGUAGCGGUGGAAUGCAUAGAUAUCACGCAGAACUCCGAUUGCGAAGGCAGCUUACUAAGGUACAACUGACGCUGAAGCACGAAAGCGUGGGUAUCAAACAGGAUUAGAUACCCUGGUAGUCCACGCAGUAAACGAUGAUAACUGGGCGUAUGCGAUAUACAGUAUGCUCCUAAGCGAAAGCGUUAAGUUAUCCACCUGGGGA
Molecule: ribosomal RNA, 534 nt
Filed under: uncultured bacterium
Lineage: Bacteria
Description: bacterial SSU rRNA
Rfam family: Bacterial small subunit ribosomal RNA
Source: RNAcentral